This 253-nucleotide ribosomal RNA is filed under the name uncultured bacterium. Its description in RNAcentral is "partial 16S ribosomal RNA". It matches the Rfam family "Bacterial small subunit ribosomal RNA", at positions 524 to 776 of the family's 1533-position model. The record is from RNAcentral.
UACGAAGGGGGCUAGCGUUGUUCGGAAUUACUGGGCGUAAAGCGCACGUAGGCGGAUACUUAAGUCAGGGGUGAAAUCCCGGGGCUCAACCCCGGAACUGCCUUUGAUACUGGGUAUCUGGAGUCCGGAAGAGGUGAGUGGAAGUCCGAGUGUAGAGGUGAAAUUCGUAGAUAUUCGGAGGAACACCAGUGGCGAAGGCGGCUCACUGGUCCGGUACUGACGCUGAGGUGCGAAAGCGUGGGGAGCAAACAGG